RNAcentral lists this ribosomal RNA (649 nucleotides) under uncultured bacterium. RNAcentral describes it as "bacterial SSU rRNA". It matches the Rfam family "Bacterial small subunit ribosomal RNA", at positions 28 to 674 of the family's 1533-position model. The record is from RNAcentral.
GAUGAACGCUAGCGGCAGGCUUAAUACAUGCAAGUCGAACGGUAAGUGUUUUAGCAAUAAAGCACGAGAGUGACGUACGGGUGCGUAACACGUAUGCAACCUACCUUGUACAGGAGGAUAGCUCGGGGAAACUCGAAUUAACCCUCCAUAAUAUCAUUGGAUGGCAUCAUUUGAUGAUUAAAACUCAGGUGGUACAAGAUGGGCAUGCGUCUGAUUAGUUAGUUGGCGGGGUAACGGCCCACCAAGACGAUGAUCAGUAGGGGACCUGAGAGGGUGAUCCCCCACACUGGCACUGAGAUACGGGCCAGACUCCUACGGGAGGCAGCAGUAGGGAAUAUUGGUCAAUGGAUGCAAGUCUGAACCAGCCAUGCCGCGUGCAGGAAGAAGGCGUUAUGCGUUGUAAACUGCUUUUGCCAGGGGAUAAAAUGAGCGUGCGCGCUUAAUUGAAGGUACCUGGUGAAUAAGCCACGGCUAACUACGUGCCAGCAGCCGCGGUAAUACGUAGGUGGCAAGCGUUGUCCGGAUUUAUUGGGUUUAAAGGGUGCGUAGGUGGCCCUGUAAGUCAGUGGUGAAAUACCUCAGCUUAACUGAGAGGGUGCCAUUGAUACUGCAGGGCUUGAGUACAGAUGAGGUAGGCGGAAUUGACGGU